Lactuca sativa (garden lettuce) is the source of this 3187-nucleotide non-coding RNA. NCBI's taxonomy places the organism in Eukaryota, Viridiplantae, Streptophyta, Magnoliopsida, Asterales, Asteraceae. The record is from RefSeq and is a predicted model, not a curated record.
CUAAAACUCCAAUGUUUGCUAGGUUACGAAAUUUCCAAAGUGAUUAUAUUGCUUUUGUUAUUUUGUGGCAAAAGUUCCUUAAUUUGGAUAAUAUGUAUCUGGUUUAUGUAAUUUUUUUGAUUUGUGAAGAAAGAUUAUUAUUGCAGAAUAACAUCACAGGGGCAAUUCCAUCUUUAGUUCAUUUAACAGCCCUUCAAUACAUGUAAGAAAAUGCACAAGGAGAUUUUUUUAGUUUUUUAUUAACUCCACAAUGUGAAUUUCAGAAACACUUCUGUUAUUUAUUAUUAUUAUUUUUUGGAUUUUAUCUUGAAAAAAUAUCAUCAGGUCAACCAAAUGAUGACGCUUUUUGAAGCUUAUCAAAAUUAUAAAUUGCUUUAAUUGAUUGACUGUUCAUUUUGGUUUUAUUUUUGAAUGAAUCUUUGUGCUCUUGGAGUUUACAUGAACCUGUUUAAACAUGAAAGUGCUAAUUGUGGCUUCUGUUACUUAUUUUCUUGAUGUUUCCAAAGUUUUUCUUCACUCAUCACUAUUUGCUUCCACCGCCUCACCAGCUUUUCGGUCAGCAUCAACACCCAUUGUCAACCAAUGAGGUUUUGGCCCCGAUCUCUUUCUCUAUAUAUCUGUAUAAAUGAUUGAUUUGUCCCAAAUCUCUUUUCAUCUGAUUUUUUAUCUUCUAUUUAUCAACAGGAGAUUCAGGUUCGUUGUAUCAUACAUAAGCUGUAAAUGGAAAUAUUAUUUCACAUGUAUAUUUUAAUUUUUAUUAUAAGUCAACCACAUCUUUAUUCAAGAUUUUAGUUUUCUUCUAAAUCUAUUUUUUUACUGAUCAAGAAAUGUGACGUGUUUGUAUAUAUGAUCAAUUCAUCAUUUUUUUACUAUUUCGAAUUAAAAAAAAACAAUUUUACAGAUUUUGAUAGUGAUAGCUCAUUUGGAGCAGGAUCUUGCAAGAAGAAGGUAUUACUUCACUCAUGUUUUUAAAUGUUUAUUCUGCUAUAAUAUCUAAAGCCUUUUUUUUCAAAUUUCUAAAAGCAAGCAGGAUUUUGAAAUUGAAAAAGAUUUUAGCUUUUGGCUAAACAUGAUAGAAACCACAAACUGCAUAAAUAACAUAAAAUAUUUGCACGCUUUCUAUUUUUUAUUGUAUGAAUUGGAAUAUUUUUGAAAUUUGGUGGUUAUUUUACGGUUUACCCCUACAUUGAUUUAAAGGUGUUAGAUUCAAUCGCAUUUAUUUCAUAUGACUGUUUCUUCGUUUUAUGGUGCUUAAAUGAUUCUAUUUAACCUCAUAUUUUGGUGUUUUUAAAUAAGAGUAGAGUAUGUUUUUAAUUUCUGUAGUUAAUUUUAGAUUUUAAAAAUGCAGUUCUCAACUUCUUCUUAUUCUUGUCUUUUGAUUUUGAACUUCAUCUAUGGCUUUAUGGAUGUUGUAGGCACACAAGUUUUAAGAAGCUCAAGAAAAUUUUGUAACCAUUUUGACAGAUGAGCUUUCAAUCAAUGCCACACUGAAUGGAUGGUAUCAUUGGGUAUCUUUUGGUUUGGAUAUGCUUUCAAAUGAAUUUUUUUUCAUGCACAUCAUUUUGUAAAAAUUUAUUAUUGGUAUGGAUUCCACAGUUUAUCGUCCAAAAGUUCAUGUACUACUCAUCUAAUUUUAUGUGGUUUGAAUUCAAGUUAUAUCUUUGUAGAUUAUAAUAAUAAAUAAAUAAAUACUUUUGUUUGAUAUUAAUGAUAUUGUUAUUACUUUAAAUUCUAUUGUUAGAUAUUAGGGUAUGGAUGGGCUGGAAUGUCUAGAAAUCAGGGGUAAAAACUGCAUCUACAUACUAUUUUUAUAGUUACAAAUUAUUUCUUCUAACAUUUUUGGACCAAGCCGCCCCUACAUAUUGUUUCUAUAGUUAAAAGUUUUUUAUUCUAACAUUUUUGGACCAAACUGCCCCUGUAUAUUUUUUCUAUAUUUAAAAAAAAAAAUAGUUUUAAGUUUUUUGGACCAAACUGCCCCUGCAUACUGUUUUUAAACUUAACAAAAAUUCAUUUUAACAAUUUUGGACCAAACUGCCCCUACAUACUAUUUUAUAGCUAAAUUUUUUUUGAUUUAAAAGUUUUGGACUGAAAUGCCCCUGCAUAAUGUUUUUACACAUAAAAAAAAUUGAAUUUAACAAUUUUGGAUGAAACUGCCCUUACAUACUCUUUUUAUAGUUAAUCUUUUCUUUUAACAGUUUUGGACAAAACUAUCCCUACAUAUUGUUAAUUUGGUUAGAACCAAAAAAAGUACACAAAUCCGGACCCCGCUUCACCGUUCCUCGGUUACAACACUCCGCUUUGUUCCGGUUUUGCAUUGGCUAGCUGGCUCUAAUUUUAUUUCAUUCUUAUGUAGGUUUCGACGAAUUUGAAAGGAGUUUCAAGGUCGGCUUCUGAAUUCCAAGUAUCUCACCUCUAAUUUCGGAUUUCAACUAGCUUAGACUUUGAUUUUAUUGUAACUUGCCUCCAGAUUUCAUCACUAUUUGUGUUGUGUUUUUGGUUUCACCCAAAUUUUGAACAGGGAAUCCGCCAUCUGUGGAUGUCGCCGAUUGGGAUAUCGAGUUCGCUGCCAAUGCAACCCUCGAUUUUCCGUCGGUGUGGCGGGAGGAGUAACGAUUCAACUCCUCCCAAACCUUCGGUGUCUGUUAAGCGCUUUCAAUGAAGUCGCCGACAACAUGAAGCAAAAUUCACCAAAAAAAUAUUAUUUUAAUGUAUUUUAUUGGAUUUAUGGGUAAAAUAAAAAAUGUAGAUGGUUUGAUUCAAAAAAUGACUUAUUUGAUAAUUGAUCAUUUGUGUGUUUUUUUCCAUACAGGGAUUUAGUUCUCACAUAGCAAACAUCAUUCCUGUAACAACAAUUCUCAUGGUACAACAACAGAAACAACAGCAGAUGGGAAUCUUUAUGUCGCUAUUCCUUAGAGACAUCUGAACCUUGGAUGCAUUCAAGGGACAUUCCAAGCCUACAAUUGGCAACGCGACAUAAGGUUGAAGUACCUAUUGACGGCACCGUGAGACUGUGACUUUUCCAUUUUUAGGUUAUAGAUGUAGUAAACUUUCGAUCGUAUCUGUUUAGCUCCAUGCCCCGCAACGCGAGGCUCCUCAUCUAGUUUACUAUAAUUACUAACGAUUCAUAAAAAAAGAUUAAACAUUCAUACUGUGUGGUAAUUAAUCCCAAGUCAUGUAGCACAUACGG